CCCGGGUCUCCGCGGUGUCCCAGGAGCUUUUGCUGACAAUUCCAGUUUCCAAACGAAACAUCUGGGCAAUGGUGAAGGCUUCAAUACCUUCUCACAUUUUCUGUCAACAAUGAAUGGAUGGAUGUGAUGCCUGCUUGUCGAAAGGUGUCCCUCUGUACGGUGCAGUCCUGUGGCAUUAUGCAUGCCCUCAACCAGUGACCUCCAGACUUUUUAUGGCUGUGAGACACAUUAAAAAUUCAGGGGUAAGAAGUGACCUUUUGAGGUGACUGUAACAGAAGAUUGCUUUCCAGAAGCCAAAAAAGGUAAAUGCAAAUAUAAUUAGUGGAAUUACGUUAAGGACUCUAUCUACUGCCUUCUCGGCAUCUUAAUUCAGU
RNAcentral lists this long non-coding RNA (374 nucleotides) under Moschus moschiferus (Siberian musk deer). Its description in RNAcentral is "lncRNA (ENSMMSG00000015941.1)". Lineage: Eukaryota; Metazoa; Chordata; Mammalia; Artiodactyla; Moschidae. The record is from RNAcentral.